Molecule: transfer RNA, 95 nt
Filed under: Actinoplanes italicus
Lineage: Bacteria; Bacillati; Actinomycetota; Actinomycetes; Micromonosporales; Micromonosporaceae
Description: tRNA-Ala
Source: RNAcentral
UCGACGUGAUCGUGUGUGCCGGCAACGUGAUGGCCUUCGCCGGGCCGUCGACGCGGGUGGAGAUCCUCCGCCGGUUCGGUGUCCACCUCGCCGGG